Molecule: ribosomal RNA, 280 nt
Filed under: uncultured bacterium
Lineage: Bacteria
Description: partial 16S ribosomal RNA
Rfam family: Bacterial small subunit ribosomal RNA
Source: RNAcentral
ACCCUUGUUUCCUGUUGCCAUCACGUAAUGGUGGGCACUCUGGAGAGACUGCCGGUGACAAACCGGAGGAAGGUGGGGAUGACGUCAAGUCCUCAUGGCCUUUAUGGCCUGGGCUGCACACGUCCUACAAUGGCAUAUACAAAGGGAUGCUACCUCGCGAGAGCAAGCAAAUCCCAAAAAGUAUGCCCCAGUUCGGAUUGCAGGCUGCAACUCGCCUGCAUGAAGCCGGAAUCGCUAGUAAUCGUGGAUCAGCAUGCCACGGUGAAUAUGUUCCUGAGCC